CCCAGCUCCGAAAAAUAGAAAAAAAAAUAUUUAAAAGGCUGCCACAGGGGAGAUUAAUACUACUAAUCCACAGGCCCGUGUAGACAGAAGUAUAAAUAAGGUAGAAUAUUUGAAAGCAUCAAUUAGCAUUUUCAACAAGUUCCCAGCAGUGCCGAGACUGCUGGUUUGAAGUCUUGUACUUUGCCGACAUUCCAAUUAGGACAAAGUGAGGAAGGCAGCUAGACAAUUCAUUUCAAAGUUUCAGGUGUUGGAAUGGUGUGUGACAAAGCACAGCUGUCUUGAGACCUCUCUGCAUAAGCAAGUCUGUCCGAUCCUCUCACCUUCUCCCUGCUACUUCACCUCAGAACCAUCCUUCCUAACUAAUGCUGGCUUCCUUUUGCUCCUGUUUGGAAGGUACCCGAUUGGGAGGAUGGGCUGUAGCAAUCUGGGGAUGCUGGCCUUAGGCUUAUUUUCCUUGUCUGUCAGUGUGAGGUACAUUCUCAUUUUAAGAACCUCAUCUCUUGCAACGUGAAUUUUUUUGAUUAGCACCAUGAAAAAAUGUUUAACUAUAACCUUGUAAGUUAGAUUACUUUAAGGACAAAGGUGGCUAAAUUUUACUUCUUUUUUAGUUUGUAGAGGGCCUAUAAAUAUCUCCUUGUUUAUUAUUUCACAAAUAUACGCAACUUCCACUCAUUACUGUGCUAUUGAAUUAUGCUCAGGGGCUGAGGGUUGAUUUAAAUAACUGUGAAUUGCACCAUGAAUUAAUUGGCUUUCUA
This 755-nucleotide long non-coding RNA is filed under the name Rattus norvegicus (Norway rat). RNAcentral's name for it is "long non-coding RNA NONRATT015842". Lineage: Eukaryota; Metazoa; Chordata; Mammalia; Rodentia; Muridae. The record is from RNAcentral.